Molecule: ribosomal RNA, 1598 nt
Filed under: Aeromonas taiwanensis
Lineage: Bacteria; Pseudomonadati; Pseudomonadota; Gammaproteobacteria; Aeromonadales; Aeromonadaceae
Description: partial 23S ribosomal RNA
Rfam family: Bacterial large subunit ribosomal RNA
Source: RNAcentral
UAAGUGGGAAACGAUGUGGGAAGGCUCAGACAGCUAGGAUGUUGGCUUAGAAGCAGCCAUCAUUUAAAGAAAGCGUAAUAGCUCACUAGUCGAGUCGGCCUGCGCGGAAGAUGUAACGGGGCUCAAACCAGGCACCGAAGCCGCGGAUUCACGCUAAGCGUGAGUGGUAGGGGAGCGUUCUGUAAGUCUGCGAAGGUGUAUCGAGAGGUAUGCUGGAGAUAUCAGAAGUGCGAAUGCUGACGUAAGUAACGAUAAAGGGGGUGAAAAGCCUCCUCGCCGGAAGACCAAGGGUUCCUGUCCAACGUUAAUCGGGGCAGGGUGAGUCGACCCCUAAGGCGAGGCCGAAAGGCGUAGUCGAUGGGAAGCAGGUUAAUAUUCCUGCACGACUUGUAAUUGCGAUGGGGGGACGGAGAAGGCUAGGUGGGCCAGGCGACGGUUGUCCUGGUGAAAGUGCGUAGGUGGUGUUUCUAGGCAAAUCCGGAGACACAACACUGAGACACGAGACGAACACACUACGGUGUGGAAGCCAUUGAUGCCCUGCUUCCAGGAAAAGCCUCUAAGCUUCAGAUUACAAGUCAUCGUACCCCAAACCGACACAGGUGGUCGGGUAGAGAAUACCAAGGCGCUUGAGAGAACUCGGGUGAAGGAACUAGGCAAAAUAGUACCGUAACUUCGGGAGAAGGUACGCUCUUGUUGGUGAAGUCCCUUGCGGAUGGAGCUGACGGGAGUCGCAGUGACCAGAUGGCUGGGACUGUUUAUCAAAAACACAGCACUCUGCAAACACGAAAGUGGACGUAUAGGGUGUGACACCUGCCCGGUGCCGGAAGGUUAAUUGAUGGGGUUAGCGCAAGCGAAGCUCUUGAUCGAAGCCCCGGUAAACGGCGGCCGUAACUAUAACGGUCCUAAGGUAGCGAAAUUCCUUGUCGGGUAAGUUCCGACCUGCACGAAUGGUGUAACCAUGGCCAUGCUGUCUCCACCCGAGACUCAGUGAAAUCGAAUUCGCCGUGAAGAUGCGGUGUACCCGCGGCUAGACGGAAAGACCCCGUGAACCUUUACUACAGCUUGGCACUGAACAUUGAACCUACAUGUGUAGGAUAGGUGGGAGGCUUUGAAGGCGUGACGCCAGUUGCGCUGGAGCCGUCCUUGAAAUACCACCCUUGUAUGUUUGAUGUUCUAACGCAGGGCCCUGAAUCGGGCUCGCGGACAGUGCCUGGUGGGUAGUUUGACUGGGGCGGUCUCCUCCCAAAGAGUAACGGAGGAGCACGAAGGUUGGCUAAUCCUGGUCGGACAUCAGGAGGUUAGUGCAAUGGCAUAAGCCAGCUUAACUGCGAGACGGACAGGUCGAGCAGGUACGAAAGUAGGUCAUAGUGAUCCGGUGGUUCUGAAUGGAAGGGCCAUCGCUCAACGGAUAAAAGGUACUCCGGGGAUAACAGGCUGAUACCGCCCAAGAGUUCAUAUCGACGGCGGUGUUUGGCACCUCGAUGUCGGCUCAUCACAUCCUGGGGCUGAAGUCGGUCCCAAGGGUAUGGCUGUUCGCCAUUUAAAGUGGUACGCGAGCUGGGUUCAGAACGUCGUGAGACAGUUCGGUCCCUAUCUGC